This 461-nucleotide ribosomal RNA is filed under the name uncultured bacterium. RNAcentral's name for it is "partial 16S ribosomal RNA". It matches the Rfam family "Bacterial small subunit ribosomal RNA", at positions 337 to 795 of the family's 1533-position model. The record is from RNAcentral.
GCCUACGUGAGGCAGCAGUGAGGAAUAUUGGUCAAUGGGCGUAAGCCUGAACCAGCCAAGUCGCGUGAGGGAUGAAGGUUCUAUGGAUCGUAAACCUCUUUUAUAAGGGAAUAAAGUGUGGGACGUGUCCUAUUUUGUAUGUACCUUAUGAAUAAGGAUCGGCUAACUCCGUGCCAGCAGCCGCGGUAAUACGGAGGAUCCGAGCGUUAUCCGGAUUUAUUGGGUUUAAAGGGUGCGUAGGCGGCCUUUUAAGUCAGCGGUGAAAGUCUGUGGCUGAACCAUAGAAUUGCCGUUGAAACUGGGGGGCUUGAGGAUGUUUGAGGCAGGCGGAGUGCGUGGUGUAGCGGUGAAAUGCUUAGAGAUCACGCAGAACCCCGAUUGCGAAGGCAGCCUGCCAAGCCAUGACUGACGCUGAUGCACGAAAGCGUGGGGAUCAAACAGGAUUAGAUACCCGUGUAGUC